Molecule: long non-coding RNA, 1217 nt
Filed under: Oreochromis niloticus (Nile tilapia)
Lineage: Eukaryota; Metazoa; Chordata; Actinopteri; Cichliformes; Cichlidae
Description: lncRNA (ENSONIG00000036470.1)
Source: RNAcentral
CUUGUGUGUCAUGAUCCGUGGGAGCAGCUGAGGGGUUUUCAUUUGUUAUCAGGAUGGGUCCCUGGCUACUUGCCCGGGCGGAGUCUCUGCAUCACACCUGAGCUCCAUCUGCUGUCAAUUACAGGAGGACUACUUAAGCCAGCACUGCCUGCUACUUGUCUCCAGUUCAUUCUGCCACCCACAGUGGUAGCUAGGCCACAUCUGCACUCCACUCUUACCGCUCCCUUUCUUCGUGCUAAACUCUGUUUCCUUGUGUACAGAUCUCCACACUAUCCCAUCUUGGACGCAUCGCCUGUGAAACCCUCUCCAAAGCUUUUCAGUCUGGACCUGCACCACACCUGCGGUUCCAAUUGUGACCUCAACGGACAGCCUUCCCCAUGGCCAUCCCCCUUUCCACUGACUCCUGUUCACUCUUGUUUGCCUUUGUUUUGAUCUCCUUCAUUCUGUAAAUAAAGUCUUGUCAAUAGUUCUCAGUAAGUGAAUUGAGUCUGCUUUUGGGUCCAGCUCUUGUGAGAACCUCGGUUCAUGACAUUGUGGCCCUGUCCUGGUGUUUGGUAUGCUGUGCAACCUGGGUGCCCUGUCUUUGUUUUUUUUUGGUUUUUUUCCAACAUUCCCAGUUGAGAUUUUGGACGACUGCACGGGAACAUGUUUGUGGUGGGUAAAAAUCCUUCUCCAUCCAAAUGGAAAUGCGCACACGGACGGACUAGUCUGUCAAACUCAUGGAUGAGUCCAACAACAGCAACCUGAUGAGCCUCCUGAUGGGGAAAGAUGAGGCAGGGAGGCUCUGUGCUAACUGGUUAGCUUUCAGAAUAAGAGUGUUGGAAUUGGGCUGAUGGUAAACUGAUCCCAGGAAAAAAAUAAAAUCACAAAAUAUACUUAAUGUGCAUGUGUCAGUAAAUAUUAGGCUAAAGUGAUGCGGGGGUGUCUAGCUCAGGUACACAGAGCAGAGCAGAAACUGAUUUAAUUUACGUUCAUGACUUCUGGUCAUGUUCACUGAUGCAGUCAUGAAUUAUAUAAAUGUAUUAACCAUUUAGGUUGAUUGCACAGCAGACUGACAGAUGCAAAGUUCCCGACUUACUUAAAAGUGAUCCAUCAUGUUAUAUUUCACCUUUUUGUGUUUCUAUUUGGCUUUUCAGUGUGUAGCGCUUUACUCGCUGUAUAAUAGUCAAUCUGGCCUUCUGAGGAAAAAUGCUGCCCACCGCUGAACUGGAGCCACU